CAAUAGCGUAUAUUAAAGUUGUUGCGGUUAAAAAGCUCGUAGUUGGAUUUCUGCUGAAAACGACCGGUCCGCCCUCUGGGUGAGUAUCUGGCUCGGCUUUGGCAUCUUCUUGGAGACCUGGUAUGCACUUGAUUGUGUGUCCAGCUAUCUAAGACUUUUACUUUGAGGAAAUUAGAGUGUUCAAAGCAGGCCUCGGCCUCUGAAUACAUUAGCAUGGAAUAAUAAGAUAGGACUUUGGUGGUCUAUUUUGUUGGUUUGUACGCCAAAGUAAUGAUUAAUAGGGAUAGUUGGGGGUAUUCGUAUUCAAUUGUCAGAGGUGAAAUUCUUGGAUUUAUGGAAGACGAACUACUGCGAAAGCAUUUACCAAGGAUGUUUUCAUUAA
RNAcentral lists this ribosomal RNA (382 nucleotides) under uncultured eukaryote. RNAcentral describes it as "partial 18S ribosomal RNA". It matches the Rfam family "Eukaryotic small subunit ribosomal RNA", at positions 592 to 976 of the family's 1831-position model. The record is from RNAcentral.